ACCUGACUGCUAUCGGAUUGAUACUAAGCCAUGCGAGUCUUUGCAGUAAUGCAAGGCAUACGGCUCAGUAACACGUAGUCAACUUAACCUAUGGACGAGGAUAACCUCGGGAAACUGAGAAUAAUACUCGAUAGAUCAUUAUGCCUGGAAUGGUUUAUGGUUAAAAUGAUUCAUCGCCAUAGGAUGGGACUGCGGCCUAUCAGCCUGUUGGUGAGGUAAUGGCCCACCAAGGCUAUUACAGGUACGGGCUCUGAGAGGAGUAGCCCGGAGAUGGGUACUGAGACACGGACCCAGGCCCUAUGGGGCGCAGCAGGCGAGAAAACUUUGCAAUGUGCGAAAGCACGACAAGGUUAAUCCGAGUGAUUUCUGCUAAAGAGAUCUUUUGCAAGUUCUAAAACCACUAGUGAAUAAGGGGUGGGCAAGUUCUGGUGUCAGCCGCCGCGGUAAAACCAGCACCUCAAGUGGUCAGGAUGAUUAUUGGGCCUAAAGCAUCCGUAGCCGGCUCUGUAAGUUUUCGGUUAAAUCUGUACGCUCAACGUACAGGCUGCCGGGAAUACUGCAGAACUAGGGAGUGGGAGAGGUAGACGGUACUCGGUAGGAAGUGGUAAAAUGCUUUGAUCUAUCGAUGACCACCUGUGGCGAAAGCGGUCUACCAGAACACGUCCGACGGUGAGGGAUGAAAGCUGGGGGAGCAAACCGGAUUAGAUACCCGGGUAGUCCCAGCUGUAAACUAUGCAAACUCAGUGAUGCAUUGGCUUGUGGCCAAUGCAGUGCUGCAGAGAAGCCGUUAAGUCUGCCGCCUGGGAAGUACGUACGCAAGUAUGAAACUUAAAGGAAUUGGCGGGGGAGCACCACAGGGGGUGAAGCCUGCGUCAUUGAUCACGCGAGGCGA
RNAcentral lists this ribosomal RNA (892 nucleotides) under uncultured archaeon. RNAcentral's name for it is "bacterial SSU rRNA". It matches the Rfam family "Archaeal small subunit ribosomal RNA", at positions 21 to 925 of the family's 1478-position model. The record is from RNAcentral.